UACGGAGGGUGCAAGCGUUGUUCGGAUUCAUUGGGCGUAAAGCGAGUGUAGGCGGUUUGACAAGUCGGAUGUGAACUCCCGGGGCCCAACCCCGGAACUGCACCCGAUACUGUCUGGCUAGAGUCCCGGAGAGGGUGGCGGAAUUCCCGGUGUAGGGGUGAAAUCCGUAGAUAUCGGGAGGAACACCAGUGGCGAAGGCGGCCACCUGGACGGUGACUGACGCUGAGACUCGAAAGCGUGGGUAGCAAACAGG
This 253-nucleotide ribosomal RNA is filed under the name uncultured bacterium. RNAcentral describes it as "partial 16S ribosomal RNA". It matches the Rfam family "Bacterial small subunit ribosomal RNA", at positions 524 to 776 of the family's 1533-position model. The record is from RNAcentral.